This 254-nucleotide ribosomal RNA is filed under the name uncultured prokaryote. RNAcentral's name for it is "partial 16S ribosomal RNA". It matches the Rfam family "Bacterial small subunit ribosomal RNA", at positions 525 to 777 of the family's 1533-position model. The record is from RNAcentral.
ACGGGGGGGGGCAAGCGUUGUUCGGAAUUACUGGGCGUAAAGGGCUCGUAGGCGGCCAACUAAGUCGGACGUGAAAGCCCUCGGCUUAACCGAGGAACUGCGUCUGAUACUGGAGGGCUUGAGUAUGGGAGAGGGAUGUAGAAUUCCAGGUGUAGCGGUGAAAUGCGUAGAUAUCUGGAGGAAUACCGGUGGCGAAGGCGGCAUCCUGGACCAUUACUGACGCUGAGGCGCGAAAGCUAGGGGAGCAAACGGGA